AGAACACAGGGUUCAACACCAGGAUUGGUCGCAAGUAGGAAGCUUUCGCCUCUACACUGGGACCCUCGGAAGGUGCCGGCGCAGUGCCUGAAGCUGUAGCGUGUGCCGCGCUCAGGUGCUCAGGACCAGGCAAGAGACCUACACUACUGCUAUGGCAACUCCGGAUCCUUAACUCAAUGUGUGGGGCUGAGGAUCGAACCUGCAUCCCAGUGCUUGAGAGACACUGCUGAUCGAUCUCUGUUGCCUUAUUGAUUUUCUGUCCAGAGGAUCUGUCCAUUGAUGUGAUGUGCAAUUGACCUUGGGAUGCAUAACUUCGUUGGGGGAAUCACUGACAUAUAAUAACUCCACAGCAUGUGGCCCCAAGAACUGCCCUGAAAG
RNAcentral lists this long non-coding RNA (378 nucleotides) under Sus scrofa (pig). RNAcentral's name for it is "lncRNA (ENSSSCG00030070563.1)". The record is from RNAcentral. Lineage: Eukaryota; Metazoa; Chordata; Mammalia; Artiodactyla; Suidae.